GCGAACGGGUGAGUAACACGUAGGUAACCUGCCCUUAAGACGAGGAUAACCGUUGGAAACGAUGGCUAAGACUGGAUAGGAACAUUGAAGGCAUCUUUGAUGUUUUAAAAGACCUAGCAAUAGGUAUGCUUAAGGAGGGACCUGCGGCGCAUUAGUUAGUUGGUGAGGUAGUGGCUUACCAAGACGAUGAUGCGUAGCCGGACUGAGAGGUUGAACGGCCACAUUGGGACUGAGAGACGGCCCAAACUCCUACGGGAGGCAGCAGUAGGGAAUUUUCGGCAAUGGGGGAAACCCUGACCGAGCAACGCCGCGUGAAUGACGAAGUACUUCGGUAUGUAAAGUUCUUUUAUUAGGGAAGAAUGGUACGUGGAAAAACGUACGUGACGGUACCUAAUGAAUAAGCCCCGGCUAACUAUGUGCCAGCAGCCGCGGUAAUACAUAGGGGGCAAGCGUUAUCCGGAAUUAUUGGGCGUAAAGGGUGCGUAGGUGGCCAUUUAAGUCUUUGGUGUAAGUGCAGUGCUCAACGCUGUGAUGCUAAAGAAACUGGGUGGCUUGAGUGUGGUAGAGGCAAGUGGAAUUCCAUGUGUAGCGGUAAAAUGCGUAAAUAUAUGGAGGAACACCAGUGGCGAAGGCGGCUUGCUGGGCCAUAACUGACACUGAGGCACGAAAGCGUGGGGAGCAAACAGGAUUAGAUACCCUGGUAGUCCACGCCGUAAACGAUGAGUACUAAGUGUAGGAGAAAUUCUGUGCUGUAGUUAACGCAAUAAGUACUCCGCCUGAGUAGUACGUACGCAAGUAUGAAACUCAAAGGAAUUGACGGGACCCCGCACAAGCGGUGGAUCAUGUUGUUUAAUUCGAUGAUACGCGA
This 868-nucleotide ribosomal RNA is filed under the name uncultured bacterium. RNAcentral describes it as "bacterial SSU rRNA". It matches the Rfam family "Bacterial small subunit ribosomal RNA", at positions 98 to 964 of the family's 1533-position model. The record is from RNAcentral.